This 1134-nucleotide long non-coding RNA is filed under the name Oryctolagus cuniculus (rabbit). RNAcentral describes it as "lncRNA (ENSOCUG00000039568.1)". Lineage: Eukaryota; Metazoa; Chordata; Mammalia; Lagomorpha; Leporidae. The record is from RNAcentral.
GCACGUGCACAUGAGGCGCGGUGGUCUCGGGCUCACCUGCACGCGCACGCGAGGGCCGCGGUGGUCUCGGGCUGCCGUGCACGUACACGCGAGGGCCGUGGUGGUCUCAGGCUGCCGUGCACGUGCACGCGAGGGCCGUGGUGGUCUCGGGCUGCCGUGCACGCACACGCGAGGGCCGCGGUGGUCUCGGGCUCCCGUGCACGCGCACGUGAGGGCCGCGGUGGUCUCGGGCUCCCGUGCACGCGCACGCGAGGGCCGUGGUGGUCUCGGGCUGCCGUGCACGCGCACGUGAGGGCCGUGGUGGUCUCGGGCGCACGCUCUAUCUGAACCCCUUGUUGCUCGGCAGAGGCUGGACCUGCUCCAGGGCUUGUGAUUCAGCAGGUCCCGACGGGGCCCUGGCGUCGGCCUUUCUGGUGUUAUUGUUCGUUUCUUGUUUAAGGUUUAUUUAUUUAUUCACUUCAAAGUCAGAAAGAGAGAGACGUCUUCUAGCUGGUGGGUCAUGCCACAUGUGCGCAGCAGCCAGGACUUAGGAACCCUGGCCAGGGCUCCCUGUGGGUGCAGGACCUCGAGCCCUAGAGCCGUCCUCCGCUGCCUCGCAGGCGCAUUAGCAGGGAGCGGGGGUGGAAGGGGAGUAGCUGGGACCUGAACUGGUGCUCGGGCACGGAAUGCAGGCCUCUCAAGUGGCAGUGGGGCCCGCUGCACUGUAGCACCCACCACUGGGGUUUGCGGGGUUUUUCUGUUUUUAAGAUUUAUUUAUUUAUUUAUUUGAAAGUUACACAGAAGAGAGGUGGAGAGAGAGAGAGAGGUCUUCCAUCCGAUGGUUCACUCCCCAGUUGGCUGCAAUGGCCCGAACUGCGCCCAUCCGAAGCCAGGAGCCAGGAGUUUCUCCCGGGUCUCCCACGCGGGUGCAGGGGCCCAAGGACCUGGGCCAUCUUCCACUGCUUUCCCAGGCCACAGCAGAGAGCUGGAUUGGAAGUGGAGCAGCCGGGACUGGAACCGGCGCCCAUGUGGGAUGCUGGUGCUUCAGGCCAGGGUGUUAACCCGCUGCGCCACAGCGCCGGCCUGGGAUUUGCAUUAACAGCACAGGCUGCAGACCCCUGGGACUCCUGAGGACUUUGCUGCUGGGUGGACGCA